Molecule: ribosomal RNA, 557 nt
Filed under: Penicillium corylophilum
Lineage: Eukaryota; Fungi; Ascomycota; Eurotiomycetes; Eurotiales; Aspergillaceae
Description: eukaryotic LSU rRNA
Rfam family: 5.8S ribosomal RNA (bases 177-330)
Source: RNAcentral
UGCAAGCGCAUGACGACCUCUGGGUCACCUCCCACCCAUGUUUAUUGUACCUUGUUGCUUCGGCGGGCCCGCCUCACGGCCGCCGGGGGGCUUCUGCCCUCUGGCCCGCGCCCGCCGAAGACACCAUUGAACACUGUCUGAAGAUUGCAGUCUGAGCAAUUAGCUAAAUAAGUUAAAACUUUCAACAACGGAUCUCUUGGUUCCGGCAUCGAUGAAGAACGCAGCGAAAUGCGAUACGUAAUGUGAAUUGCAGAAUUCAGUGAAUCAUCGAGUCUUUGAACGCACAUUGCGCCCCUUGGUAUUCCGGGGGGCAUGCCUGUCCGAGCGUCAUUGCUGCCCUCAAGCACGGCUUGUGUGUUGGGCCCCGUCCUCCUUCCCGGGGGACGGGCCCGAAAGGCAGCGGCGGCACCGCGUCCGGUCCUCGAGCGUAUGGGGCUUUGUCACCCGCUCUUGUAGGCCCGGCCGGCGCUUGCCGACAACCAUCAAUCUUUUUUCAGGUUGACCUCGGAUCAGGUAGGGAUACCCGCUGAACUUAAGCAUAUCAAUAAGCGGAGGAG